UUAAAAAGCUCGUAGUUGGAUUUCUGUCGAGGAUGGCCGGUCCGCACUUUGUGCGUGCAUCUGGUUCAGCCUUGGCAUCCUCCUGGGGAACGUAUCUGCGCUUAAUUGCGUGGUGCGGUAUCCAGGACUUUUACUUUGAGGAAAUUAGAGUGUUCACGGCAGGCAAACGCCUUGAAUACAUUAGCAUGGAAUAAUAAUAUAGGACCUUGGUCCCAUUUUGUUGGUUUCUGGAACUGAGGUAAUGAUUAAUAGGGAUAAUUGGGGGCAUUCGUAUUAACGUGUCAGAAGGUGGAAUUCUUGGAUUACGUUACGACGAACUACUGCGAAAGCAUUUGCCAAGGAUGUUUUCAUUGAUCCAGAACGAAAGUUCGGGGAU
RNAcentral lists this ribosomal RNA (376 nucleotides) under uncultured marine eukaryote. RNAcentral describes it as "SSU rRNA". It matches the Rfam family "Eukaryotic small subunit ribosomal RNA", at positions 619 to 998 of the family's 1831-position model. The record is from RNAcentral.